CUUUUUCUUUCACCGGAGCUUGCUCCACCGAAAGAAAAGGAGUGGCGAACGGGUGAGUAACACGUGGGUAACCUGCCCAUCAGAAGGGGAUAACACUUGGAAACAGGUGCUAAUACCGUAUAACAGUAGAAACCGCAUGGUUUCUAUUUGAAAGGCGCUUUUGCGUCACUGAUGGAUGGACCCGCGGUGCAUUAGCUAGUUGGUGAGGUAACGGCUCACCAAGGCAACGAUGCAUAGCCGACCUGAGAGGGUGAUCGGCCACAUUGGGACUGAGACACGGCCCAAACUCCUACGGGAGGCAGCAGUAGGGAAUCUUCGGCAAUGGACGAAAGUCUGACCGAGCAACGCCGCGUGAGUGAAGAAGGUUUUCGGAUCGUAAAACUCUGUUGUUAGAGAAGAACAAGGAUGAGAGUAAAACGUUCAUCCCUUGACGGUAUCUAACCAGAAAGCCACGGCUAACUACGUGCCAGCAGCCGCG
RNAcentral lists this ribosomal RNA (478 nucleotides) under Enterococcus malodoratus. RNAcentral's name for it is "bacterial SSU rRNA". It matches the Rfam family "Bacterial small subunit ribosomal RNA", at positions 69 to 519 of the family's 1533-position model. Lineage: Bacteria; Bacillati; Bacillota; Bacilli; Lactobacillales; Enterococcaceae. The record is from RNAcentral.